Molecule: long non-coding RNA, 369 nt
Filed under: Brassica rapa (field mustard)
Lineage: Eukaryota; Viridiplantae; Streptophyta; Magnoliopsida; Brassicales; Brassicaceae
Description: long non-coding RNA (BRAP_LNC006097)
Source: RNAcentral
AACAGUUCAGCCUUCGCUGAAAACAAGCAGAGUAUGGAUUCAACAAUUAAGUUGGAGAACAGAUUUGGUCUCCUUGCAGAAAACGACAUUUAAGCUCUCUGAGUAGAAAAUUCCUUAAUAUAUUCCAUUAGGUUAAGCUUGUCCUCUCUGUAUAAAUAACAAAGGAUGUAUAAGUUCUUAAGUAUAAAAAGAAAAAGAAAUUCUUAAGUAAUAAAAAUGGAGUUUAAGCUUUGAGUAUAUCUUCUGUUUCUAUUCUCUGUUUACCUUUGCUUUCAGUUACAACGGAUAUCAUGCGAAAGAGAGGGACUCGAGAGAAGAUUGGUGAGGUUAAUGGUGUUUCACUACAACCGAAACAGCGGCUUUUACCAC